This 422-nucleotide long non-coding RNA is filed under the name Salvia miltiorrhiza (redroot sage). RNAcentral describes it as "long non-coding RNA (SMIL_LNC001335)". The record is from RNAcentral. Lineage: Eukaryota; Viridiplantae; Streptophyta; Magnoliopsida; Lamiales; Lamiaceae.
UUUUUAGGACGCUUAUUAAUUAGUGUCCUAUUUUAUUCUAAAAAAUAAUUAGUGUCCUAUUUUUACAAAUCUGAAAGUUAUUGUUCUAAUUUUCAAAUCAAUCUAAGUUAAUGUUCUAAAAUAUCCCCUGACUCGCCCAUCAUAAUAUCAAACCACUCACUCUCGUAUUUUACUAUAUAUUAUCAAUGCAUUAUUAGAUAACGUGGGGCUAGAGACGAUAGACGCAGAAAAAUUUACUACUAGUUAGGUUUGUGUCAAGAUUUUGGAAAAGCAAUUUUCUUACUAUACAACUUGAUUAUCAGAACGUAGCAUAGCUAAAUUGAUAAGACGCUCUUCCUCCAAUAAUUAAGUUAAUUUGGGGUUCAAAUCAUCAUUGAAAAAAUUGGGAACCAUUUUUUAUUUUCUUUUUAUAGAAAAAAAAU